GACGAACGCGGGCGGCGUGCUUAACACAUGCAAGUCGAACGGAAAGGCCCUGCUUUUGUGGGGUGCUCGAGUGGCGAACGGGUGAGUAACACGUGAGUAACCUGCCCUUGACUUUGGGAUAACUUCAGGAAACUGGGGCUAAUACCGGAUAGGAGCUCCUGCUGCAUGGUGGGGGUUGGAAAGUUUCGGCGGUUGGGGAUGGACUCGCGGCUUAUCAGCUUGUUGGUGGGGUAGUGGCUUACCAAGGCUUUGACGGGUAGCCGGCCUGAGAGGGUGACCGGCCUCAUUGGGGCUGAGAUGCGGCCCAGACUCCUACGGGAGGCAGCAGUGGCGAAUAUUGCACGCUGGGCGGAAGCCUGAUGCAGCAACGCCGCGUGCGGGAUGACGGCCUUCGGGUUGUAAACCGCUUUCGCCUGUGACGAAGCGUGAGUGACGGUAAUGGGUAAAGAAGCACCGGCUAACUACGUG
RNAcentral lists this ribosomal RNA (468 nucleotides) under uncultured bacterium. RNAcentral describes it as "partial 16S ribosomal RNA". It matches the Rfam family "Bacterial small subunit ribosomal RNA", at positions 28 to 507 of the family's 1533-position model. The record is from RNAcentral.